AGGAUGUACAGAUUUCAUAUGCCGGUUC
Molecule: small RNA, 28 nt
Filed under: Bombyx mori (domestic silkworm)
Lineage: Eukaryota; Metazoa; Arthropoda; Insecta; Lepidoptera; Bombycidae
Description: ovarian small RNA-12185
Source: RNAcentral